This 357-nucleotide ribosomal RNA is filed under the name Enterobacter sp. EBCn14.1. Its description in RNAcentral is "bacterial SSU rRNA". It matches the Rfam family "Bacterial small subunit ribosomal RNA", at positions 1098 to 1456 of the family's 1533-position model. The record is from RNAcentral. Lineage: Bacteria; Pseudomonadati; Pseudomonadota; Gammaproteobacteria; Enterobacterales; Enterobacteriaceae.
GCAACCCUUAUCCUUUGUUGCCAGCGGUUAGGCCGGGAACUCAAAGGAGACUGCCAGUGAUAAACUGGAGGAAGGUGGGGAUGACGUCAAGUCAUCAUGGCCCUUACGAGUAGGGCUACACACGUGCUACAAUGGCGCAUACAAAGAGAAGCGACCUCGCGAGAGCAAGCGGACCUCAUAAAGUGCGUCGUAGUCCGGAUUGGAGUCUGCAACUCGACUCCAUGAAGUCGGAAUCGCUAGUAAUCGUAGAUCAGAAUGGUACGGUGAAUACGUUCCCGGGCCUUGUACACACCCCCCGUCACACCAUGGGAGUGGGUUGCAAAAGAAGUAGGUAGCUUAACCUCGGGAGGGCGCUUA